UAGGGAAUCUUCCGCAAUGGACGCAAGUCUGACGGAGCAACGCCGCGUGAGUGAAGAAGGAUUUCGGUUCGUAAAACUCUGUUGUUAGAGAAGAACAGCGCAUAGAGUAACUGUUAUGCGUGUGACGGUAUCUAACCAGAAAGCCACGGCUAACUACGUGCCAGCAGCCGCGGUAAUACGUAGGUGGCAAGCGUUGUCCGGAUUUAUUGGGCGUAAAGCGAGCGCAGGCGGUCAAUUAAGUCUGAUGUGAAAGCCCCCGGCUCAACCGGGGAGGGUCAUUGGAAACUGGUUGGCUUGAGUGCCGAAGAGGGGAGUGGAAUUCCAUGUGUAGCGGUGAAAUGCGUAGAUAUAUGGAGGAACACCAGUGGCGAAGGCGACUCUCUGGUCUGUAACUGACGAUGAGGUUCGAAAGCGUGGGUAGCAAACAGG
RNAcentral lists this ribosomal RNA (429 nucleotides) under Bacteroidota bacterium. RNAcentral describes it as "Bacteroidetes bacterium partial 16S ribosomal RNA". It matches the Rfam family "Bacterial small subunit ribosomal RNA", at positions 355 to 776 of the family's 1533-position model. The record is from RNAcentral. Lineage: Bacteria; Pseudomonadati; Bacteroidota.